RNAcentral lists this ribosomal RNA (497 nucleotides) under uncultured bacterium. RNAcentral describes it as "partial 16S ribosomal RNA". It matches the Rfam family "Bacterial small subunit ribosomal RNA", at positions 28 to 507 of the family's 1533-position model. The record is from RNAcentral.
GAUGAACGCUGGCGGCGUGCCUAAUACAUGCAAGUCGAGCGAACAGAUGAGGAGCUUGCUCCUCUGACGUUAGCGGCGGACGGGUGAGUAACACGUGGAUAACCUACCUAUAAGACUGGGAUAACUUCGGGAAACCGGAGCUAAUACCGGAUAAUAUAUUGAACCGCAUGGUUCAAUAGUGAAAGACGGUUUUGCUGUCACUUAUAGAUGGAUCCGCGCCGCAUUAGCUGGUUGGUAAGGUAACGGCUUACCAAGGCAACGAUGCGUAGCCGACCUGAGAGGGGGGUCGCCCGCACGAGAGCGGAGACACGGUCAGGACUCCUGCGGGAGGCACCAGAAGGGAAUCUUCCGCAAUGGGCGAAAGCCUUACGGAGCAGCGCCGCGUGAGAGAUAAAGGUGUUGGGAUCGUAAAACUCUGUUAUGAGGGAAAAACAAAUGUGUAAGUAAAUAUACACGUAGUGACGGUAACUAAUCAAAAAGCAACGGCUAACUACGUG